This is a long non-coding RNA of Priapulus caudatus, 258 nucleotides long. RefSeq lists it as uncharacterized. The record is from RefSeq and is a predicted model, not a curated record. NCBI's taxonomy places the organism in Eukaryota, Metazoa, Priapulida, Priapulimorpha, Priapulimorphida, Priapulidae. The transcript has 3 exons.
GACGGUGAAUAUGACUGUGGGACCACUGACGAGAGCGACGAGGAAAACUGCGGGGAGUGCGAUGAUGUACGUGAAUAUGACUGUGGAGGAAGGGGAUUCUGCAUUCCACUCUCUCGUGUUUGCGACGGCCAUGAUGACUGUGGAGAUAUGUCAGACGAGUCGGAUUGCCAUGGGUGCGUCUGCCCAUCAUCUAGGUUCACGUGUGGUGAUUGCUCGUGUAUAAGUCUAUGGGAUGUAUGUGAUGGAUUCUCAGAUUGC